AGUGAAUAGAUACCCGGGUAGUCCACGCUGUAAACGAUGAGUGCUGGACGUUGGCGGGUUUACCUGCCGGUGUCGCAGCUAAACGCGUUAAGCACUCCGCCUGGGGAGUACGGCCGCAAGGUUAAAAACUCAAAGGAAUUGACGGGGGCCCGCACAAGCGGUGGAGCAUGUGGUUUAAUUCGACGCAACGCGCAGAACCUUACCAGCCCUUGACAUGGGCGGACGGGGUCCAGAGAUGGACUCUUUCUCGCAAGAGACCGCUACACAGGUGCUGCAUGGCUGUCGUCAGCUCGUGUCGUGAGAUGUUGGGUUAAGUCCCGCAACGUAGCGCAACCCUGUCUCCAGUUGCCAUCGGGUAGAGCCGGGUCACUUUGGAGAAA
Molecule: ribosomal RNA, 380 nt
Filed under: uncultured bacterium
Lineage: Bacteria
Description: bacterial SSU rRNA
Rfam family: Bacterial small subunit ribosomal RNA
Source: RNAcentral